This 253-nucleotide ribosomal RNA is filed under the name uncultured bacterium. RNAcentral's name for it is "partial 16S ribosomal RNA". It matches the Rfam family "Bacterial small subunit ribosomal RNA", at positions 524 to 776 of the family's 1533-position model. The record is from RNAcentral.
UACGAGUGCCCCGAGCGUUAUCCGGAAUUACUGGGCGUAAAGAGUGUGUAGGCGGUGUUCUAAGUUUGUCGUGAAAUCUCCCGGCUUAACUGGGAGGGUGCGGCGAAAACUGGAAUGCUAGAGGAUGGGAGAGGUAAGCGGAAUUCCUGGUGUAGCGGUGAAAUGCGUAGAUAUCAGGAGGAACACCUGUGGUGUAGACAGCUUACUGGACCAUUUCUGACGCUGAGACACGAAAGCGUGGGUAGCAAACAGG